UCCUCGAUAGCUCAACUGGUAGUGCUCCGUGCCCUUUGUGAUCCAUCAUGAAAUCUCAAUGUCGAUAAAAGAUACUUAUUCGCACCACAAACUCGGAGACUGGUUCGAACCCAGAUCGAGGGA
This is a non-coding RNA of Stereum hirsutum FP-91666 SS1, 123 nucleotides long. The record is from the annotation of a RefSeq genome assembly. NCBI's taxonomy places the organism in Eukaryota, Fungi, Basidiomycota, Agaricomycetes, Russulales, Stereaceae.